RNAcentral lists this ribosomal RNA (252 nucleotides) under uncultured bacterium. RNAcentral describes it as "partial 16S ribosomal RNA". It matches the Rfam family "Bacterial small subunit ribosomal RNA", at positions 525 to 776 of the family's 1533-position model. The record is from RNAcentral.
ACGUAGGGUCCAAGCGUUAAUCGGAAUUACUGGGCGUAAAGCGUGCGCAGGCUGUUGUGUAAGACAGAUGUGAAAUCCCCGAGCUUAACUUGGGAACUGCAUUUGUGACUGCACGGCUAGAGUGUGUCAGAGGGGGGUAGAAUUCCACGUGUAGCAGUGAAAUGCGUAGAUAUGUGGAGGAAUACCAAUGGCGAAGGCAGCCCCCUGGGAUGACACUGACGCUCAUGCACGAAAGCGUGGGGAGCAAACAGG